This 433-nucleotide ribosomal RNA is filed under the name uncultured bacterium. Its description in RNAcentral is "partial 16S ribosomal RNA". It matches the Rfam family "Bacterial small subunit ribosomal RNA", at positions 29 to 507 of the family's 1533-position model. The record is from RNAcentral.
AACGAACGCUGGCGGCAUGCCUAACACAUGCAAGUCGAACGAGACCUUCGGGUCUAGUGGCGCACGGGUGCGUAACGCGUGGGAACCUGCCCUUAGGCUCGGAAUAACUCCUCGAAAGGGGUGCUAAUACCGGAUAAUGUCCUCGGACCAAAGAUUUAUCGCCCUUGGAUGGGCCCGCGUUGGAUUAGCUUGUGGGUAGGGUAAAAGCCUACCACGGCGACGAUCCAUAGCUGGUCUGAGAGGAUGAUCAGCCACACUGGGACUGAGACACGGCCCAGACUCCUACAGGAGGCAGCAGUGGGGAAUAUUGGACAAUGGGCGAAAGCCUGAUCCAGCAAUGCCGCGUGAGUGAUGAAGGCCUUAGGGUUGUAAAGCUCUUUUACCCGGGAUGAUAAUGACAGUACCGGGAGAAUAAGCUCCGGCUAACUCCGUG